AGUGAACGCUGGCGGUAGGCCUAACACAUGCAAGUCGAACGGCAGCACAGUAAGAGCUUGCUCUUACGGGUGGCGAGUGGCGGACGGGUGAGGAAUACAUCGGAAUCUACUUUUUCGUGGGGGUUCACGUAGGGAAACUUACGCUAAUACCGCAUACGACCUACGGGUGAAAGCAGUGGAUCUUCGGACCUUGCGCGAAUGAAUGAGCCGAUGUCGGAUUAGCUAGUUGGCGGGGUAAAGGCCCACCAAGGCGACGAUCCGUAGCUGGUCUGAGUGGAUGAUCAGCCACACUGGAACUGAGACACGCACCAGACCCCUACGGGAGGCAGCAGUGGGGAAUAUUGGACAAUGGGCGCAAGCCUGAUCCAGCCAUACCGCGUGUGUGAAGAAGGCGUUCGGGUUGUAAAGCCCUUUUGUUGGUAAUGAAAAGCAGCAGGUUAAUACCCCGCUGUUCUGACGGUACCCAAAGAAUAAGCACCGGCUAACUUCGUG
This 492-nucleotide ribosomal RNA is filed under the name uncultured bacterium. RNAcentral describes it as "partial 16S ribosomal RNA". It matches the Rfam family "Bacterial small subunit ribosomal RNA", at positions 29 to 507 of the family's 1533-position model. The record is from RNAcentral.